RNAcentral lists this ribosomal RNA (450 nucleotides) under uncultured bacterium. Its description in RNAcentral is "bacterial SSU rRNA". It matches the Rfam family "Bacterial small subunit ribosomal RNA", at positions 354 to 796 of the family's 1533-position model. The record is from RNAcentral.
GUGGGGAAUAUUGGACAAUGGGCGAAAGCCUGAUCCAGCCAUGCCGCGUGUGUGAAGAAGGUCUUCGGAUUGUAAAGCACUUUAAGUUGGGAGGAAGGGCAUUAACCUAAUACGUUAGUGUUUUGACGUUACCAACAGAAUAAGCACCGGCUAACUUCGUGCCAGCAGCCGCGGUAAUACGAAGGGUGCAAGCGUUAAUCGGAAUUACUGGGCGUAAAGCGCGCGUAGGUGGUUCAGCAAGUUGAAGGUGAAAUCCCCGGGCUCAACCUGGGAACUGCCUCCAAAACUACUGAGCUAGAGUACGGUAGAGGGUAGUGGAAUUUCCUGUGUAGCGGUGAAAUGCGUAGAUAUAGGAAGGAACACCAGUGGCGAAGGCGACUACCUGGACUGAUACUGACACUGAGGUGCGAAAGCGUGGGGAGCAAACAGGAUUAGAUACCCGGGUAGUCC